RNAcentral lists this transfer RNA (77 nucleotides) under Lentisphaeria bacterium. RNAcentral describes it as "tRNA-Ala". It matches the Rfam family "tRNA". From Rfam's summary of the family: Transfer RNA (tRNA) molecules are approximately 80 nucleotides in length. The record is from RNAcentral. Lineage: Bacteria; Pseudomonadati; Lentisphaerota; Lentisphaeria.
GGGGCUGUAGCUCAGUUGGCUAGAGCGGUUGGUUCGCAAUCAACAGGUCAGGGGUUCGAGUCCCCUCAGCUCCACCA